GACGAACGCUGGCGGCGUGCCUAACACAUGCAAGUCGAACGGAAAGGCCCUGCUUUUGUGGGGUGUUCGAGUGGCGAACGGGUGAGUUACCCGUGAGUAACCUGCCCUUUACUUUGGGAUAACUUCAGGCAACUGCGGCUAAUACCUGCUAGGAGCUCCUGCUGCAUGGUGGGGGUUGGAAAGUUUCGUGGGUUGGGGAUGGACUCGCGGCUUAUCAGCUUGUUGGUGGGGUAGUGGCUUACCAAGGCUUUGACGGGUAGCCGGCCUGAGAGGGGGACCGGCCACAAUAGGACUGAGAUACGGCCCAGACUCGAACGGGAGGCAACGGUGGAGAGUAUUACACAGUGGGCGGGAGCCUGAUGCAACAACGCCGCGUGCGGGAAGACGGCCAUCGGGUUGUAAACCGCUGUCACCUGAGACGAAGCGCGAGUGACGGUAAUGGGUAAAGAAGCACCGGCUAACUACGUG
Molecule: ribosomal RNA, 468 nt
Filed under: uncultured bacterium
Lineage: Bacteria
Description: partial 16S ribosomal RNA
Rfam family: Bacterial small subunit ribosomal RNA
Source: RNAcentral